RNAcentral lists this long non-coding RNA (434 nucleotides) under Manihot esculenta (cassava). Its description in RNAcentral is "long non-coding RNA (MESC_LNC005581)". The record is from RNAcentral. Lineage: Eukaryota; Viridiplantae; Streptophyta; Magnoliopsida; Malpighiales; Euphorbiaceae.
UGGGUUUCUGGGACAGUAGGUGCUGCUGGUGGUGGAGGAGGUGCAGCAUCCCCUGGGGUAGGGUUUGUUGUACCUGGGUAGAAGGACGGGGGUGGGUACAUAGGGUACUGUGGGUAUGGUGGGUAGAAAGGUGGGUAUGGCAUGUGGGAGUGGUAAGGGUUAAAGCUGGGGUAAUCCGAUGUUCGAAUGCCCGGGAUUCUGAGAAAAGGGUGGGUACUGGGGUGGCUGAACAAAUCCCGAGGCCUGAGUGCCUCCUUGGGACUCUCCCAUACCCUCUUCCGACAUACUCACUCCAAGACUGCCAUCCCUCCUCUGAUCUACAUCCAUAUCAUCCCCCACAUCCUCUGACAUUCCUCCCUGAACUGUUCCCCUUACUGAUCUGCUUCUGUUCAUAUCCAAAGACCUUCUAGGGUCUCUCACUGCUCUUUCCCUGC